RNAcentral lists this ribosomal RNA (644 nucleotides) under uncultured actinomycete. RNAcentral describes it as "bacterial SSU rRNA". It matches the Rfam family "Bacterial small subunit ribosomal RNA", at positions 232 to 885 of the family's 1533-position model. Lineage: Bacteria; Bacillati; Actinomycetota; Actinomycetes; Actinomycetales. The record is from RNAcentral.
CGCGGCCUAUCAGCUUGUUGGUGGGGUAACGGCCCACCAAGGCGACGACGGGUAGCUGGUCUGAGAGGACGGCCAGCCACACUGGGACUGAGACACGGCCCAGACUCCUACGGGAGGCAGCAGUGGGGAAUCUUGCGCUAAUGCGCGAAAGCGUGACGCAGCGACGCCGCGUGGGGGAUGAAGGCCCUCGGGUUGUAAACCCCUUUCGCCAGGGACGAAGCGAAAGUGACGGUACCUGGAGAAGAAGUCCCGGCUAACUACGUGCCAGCAGCCGCGGUAACACGUAGGGGACGAGCGUUGUCCGGAUUCAUUGGGCGUAAAGAGCGCGUAGGCGGCUCGGAAAGUCGGUCGUGAAAUCCUGGGGCUCAACCCCGGAACUGCGUCCGAUACUUCCGAGCUGGAGGCAGGUAGGGGAGAUCGGAAUUCCUGGUGUAGCGGUGAAAUGCGCAGAUAUCAGGAGGAACACCGGUGGCGAAGGCGGAUCUCUGGGCCUUGCCUGACGCUGAGGCGCGAAAGCUAGGGGAGCGAACAGGAUUAGAUACCCUGGUAGUCCUAGCCGUAAACGUUGGGUGCUAGGUGUGGGCGGAUAUCGACCCCGUCCGUGCCGAAGCUAACGCAUUAAGCACCCCGCCUGGGGAGUACGG